GCUCAGGAUGAACGCUGGCGGCGUGCCUAACACAUGCAAGUCGAACGAAGCGAUUAGGAUGAAGUUUUCGGAUGGAUUCCUGGUUGACUGAGUGGCGGACGGGUGAGUAACGCGUGGAUAACCUGCCUCACACUGGGGGAUAACAGUUAGAAAUGGCUGCUAAUGCCGCAUAAGCACACAGUACCGCAUGGUACGGUGUGAAAAACCCAGGUGGUGUGAGAUGGAUCCGCGUCUGAUUAGCCAGUUGGCGGGGUAACGGCCCACCAAAGCGACGAUCAGUAGCCGACCUGAGAGGGUGACCGGCCACAUUGGGACUGAGACACGGCCCAAACUCCUACGGGAGGCAGCAGUA
This 352-nucleotide ribosomal RNA is filed under the name uncultured bacterium. Its description in RNAcentral is "bacterial SSU rRNA". It matches the Rfam family "Bacterial small subunit ribosomal RNA", at positions 22 to 356 of the family's 1533-position model. The record is from RNAcentral.